GAUGAACGCUGGCGGCGUGCCUAAUACAUGCAAGUCGAACGAAACUUCUUUAUCACCGAGUGCUUGCACUCACCGAUAAAGAGUUGAGUGGCGAACGGGUGAGUAACACGUGGGCAACCUGCCCAAAAGAGGGGGAUAACACUUGGAAACAGGUGCUAAUACCGCAUAACCAUAGUUACCGCAUGGUAACUAUGUAAAAGGUGGCUAUACUACCGCUUUUGGAUGGGCCCGCGGCGCAUUAGCUAGUUGGUAGGGUAAAGGCUUACCAAGGCAAUGAUGCGUAGCCGAAUUGAGAGGUUGAUCGGCCACAUUGGGACUGAGACACGGCCCAAACUCCUACGGGAGGCAGCAGUAGGGAAUCUUCCACAAUGGGCGAAAGCCUGAUGGAGCAACGCCGCGUGGGUGAAGAAGGUCUGCGGAUCGUAAAACCCUGUUGUUAGAGAAGAAAGUGCGUGAGAGUAACUGUUCACGUUUCGACGGUAUCUAACCAGAAAGCCACUGCUAACUACGU
This 511-nucleotide ribosomal RNA is filed under the name uncultured bacterium. RNAcentral's name for it is "partial 16S ribosomal RNA". It matches the Rfam family "Bacterial small subunit ribosomal RNA", at positions 28 to 506 of the family's 1533-position model. The record is from RNAcentral.